This 237-nucleotide ribosomal RNA is filed under the name uncultured bacterium. RNAcentral describes it as "partial 16S ribosomal RNA". It matches the Rfam family "Bacterial small subunit ribosomal RNA", at positions 540 to 776 of the family's 1533-position model. The record is from RNAcentral.
GUUGUUCGGAUUCACUGGGUUUAAAGGGUUCGUAGGCGGAUUGGUAAUUCCGACGUGAAAUCCCCAGGCUUAACCUGGGAACUGCGUCGGAUACUGGAUGGCUUGAAUUCGGGAGAGGGAUGCAGAAUUCCAGGUGUAGCGGUGAAAUGCGUAGAUAUCGUUUGGAACGCCAAUGGUGAAAACAGGUCGCUGGGGAUGCGCUGACGCUGAGACACGAAAGCCAGGGGAGCAAACGGG